CAGAAAUAGACGCUAGCAUCGCAUGUUUACUAACACAGCGGUCGUGUUUUGACUUAACAUUUAAUGAAAUUUCUGUAAAUUUGAUCAAAUUACUCCAGCUACUGCUUGGACAGUACACCGCCCCAGCUGUUGGGAAAAAAGGCACCCGCCGAGUGACAAGUGAAGCUGGGAACACCGAGCGCCAAGUGUGCAAGACAACCACAGGGAUAAAAGAAUGGAUCUGCUUUGCAACCAGUGGCGGAGCUACGUGGCCACCCUUGGUCACUCUCCGGCCACCCCAGUGGCCACCCCAGUUAUGACAAACGCGACUCUGUGGUGUAGGACAUUAGUUUCACUAAUUUCACUGCAGCACACAACUUGCCGUGCGGAGGAGCUGUUAAUAAAGGUGCGUCGUGCAUGAACAGCAAGCGUUAGGUAAGUUUUCCAUGAUACUUUGGUCGGUUCCGGUCAAGUUUUCUCACUAUGUUGACAUAAAUCUGUUAAAAAUGGAAGCUUUCUGUAGCAGCAUGAGUGGACAUGUAAACAGUAUUAUGCCCUGUGCGGGUUUCGCCGCCAUGAUGGGGAGCAGAAACCAGAAAUUGUGCAUUGAAAACAUGUACUCGGCACACUGCUCAGCUAUUAAUUGCUCUAAUAGGCGGUCCAAAAGCAGUGGCGGCGCUACGGGGUGGAAAGUGGCCAUCCAGACAUCUCAGGUAUCAACUUAUUGCCACCCCUAUGUGAGUAAUGGUCUCACCUUUGCCACCCCAAUGAA
Dunckerocampus dactyliophorus (ringed pipefish) is the source of this 751-nucleotide long non-coding RNA. RefSeq lists it as uncharacterized. The record is from RefSeq and is a predicted model, not a curated record. Lineage: Eukaryota; Metazoa; Chordata; Actinopteri; Syngnathiformes; Syngnathidae. The transcript has 3 exons.